GUCCACGCCGUAAACGAUGGGUACUAGGUGUUGCGGGUAUUGACCCCUGCAGUGCCGCAGCUAACGCAUUAAGUACCCCGCCUGGGGAGUACGGCCGCAAGGUUAAAACUCAAAGGAAUUGACGGGGGCCCGCACAAGCGGUGGAGUAUGUGGUUUAAUUCGAUGCAACGCGAAGAACCUUACCCAGGCUUGACAUCCCGGGAACCCUCCCGAAACGGAGGGGUGCUCUUCGGAGAGCCCGGAGACAGGUGCUGCAUGGCUGUCGU
RNAcentral lists this ribosomal RNA (266 nucleotides) under uncultured bacterium. RNAcentral describes it as "partial 16S ribosomal RNA". It matches the Rfam family "Bacterial small subunit ribosomal RNA", at positions 793 to 1055 of the family's 1533-position model. The record is from RNAcentral.